CAGAAGAGCGAGCGAGGUUGUAUCGUGGCGAGCAACAGGUCGUUUACUGGGAAGAAGAUUUGGUGUUGAUAGAGGUAACUUCUUUAAGGCAAAACCUUAGACCUGAUGCAACAUCAUCCCAUGUUGCAAUCACCCUCAGGAGUGAGGAGGAUGUGAUUCGUCAUGCAGCAGCACAGAUAAACACCACAAAGAAAU
Molecule: long non-coding RNA, 195 nt
Organism: Sinocyclocheilus rhinocerous
Lineage: Eukaryota; Metazoa; Chordata; Actinopteri; Cypriniformes; Cyprinidae
Exons: 3
Source: RefSeq, a predicted model, not a curated record